CCAAAUUAGGGUUUUAAUAUUCCGAAUUAGGGUUUUGGAUUCUCGAAAUCUAAAAUUAGGGUUUUCAGAACCGGUUUCUAGGGUUUCUUGUAAAUCAUUAGGGUUUUCUAACUGAACGUCGAUGUUCUUAAUAUAUGGUUAGGGUUUGGACAUUGAUAUAAUUUAUCUGGUCAACCAUUGACCCUUAACCACAUUCAGUACACAUAUAUGACCACACACACAGAACUUAUACACUUAUACCCUUAAAAUUGUAAACCUUCAUAAUUUUUUUUUAAAUUCACAAAAUUCC
Molecule: long non-coding RNA, 289 nt
Filed under: Panax ginseng (ginseng)
Lineage: Eukaryota; Viridiplantae; Streptophyta; Magnoliopsida; Apiales; Araliaceae
Description: long non-coding RNA (PGIN_LNC013361)
Source: RNAcentral